This 72-nucleotide transfer RNA is filed under the name Toxocara canis (dog roundworm). It matches the Rfam family "tRNA". Rfam says of the family: Transfer RNA (tRNA) molecules are approximately 80 nucleotides in length. Their secondary structure includes four short double-helical elements and three loops (D, anti-codon, and T loops). Further hydrogen bonds mediate the characteristic L-shaped molecular structure. tRNAs have two regions of fundamental functional importance: the anti-codon, which is responsible for specific mRNA codon recognition, and the 3' end, to which the tRNAs corresponding amino acid is attached (by aminoacyl-tRNA synthetases). tRNAs cope with the degeneracy of the genetic code in two manners: having more than one tRNA (with a specific anti-codon) for a particular amino acid; and 'wobble' base-pairing, i.e. permitting non-standard base-pairing at the 3rd anti-codon position. The record is from Rfam by way of RNAcentral. Lineage: Eukaryota; Metazoa; Nematoda; Chromadorea; Rhabditida; Toxocaridae.
AGGGCAGUAGCUCAGUGGUAGAGCUCCCGCCUUGUAUGAGGGAGGACCUGGGUUCGGUUCCCGGAUGCUUAC